GCGCCCGUAGCUCAGUGGAUAGAGCACUGGCCUCCGGAGCCAGGUGUCGGACGUUCGAAUCGUCUCGGGCGCGCCA
Molecule: transfer RNA, 76 nt
Filed under: Candidatus Hydrogenedentota bacterium
Lineage: Bacteria; Pseudomonadati; Candidatus Hydrogenedentota
Also listed under: 1 other name
Description: tRNA-Arg
Rfam family: tRNA
About the family: Transfer RNA (tRNA) molecules are approximately 80 nucleotides in length. Their secondary structure includes four short double-helical elements and three loops (D, anti-codon, and T loops).
Source: RNAcentral